CAACCACAGAACUGACACUUACUAGCAGUUCCCACUCACUACCAGUCAGUUGACUCACUGUACAAGACCUCUCCUCUUCACUUCACUCUAUGCAUGGACUGCAUGAUGUAAUCAUCCUGGCCUGGAGGCAGGAAGGGACAAAAUGCACAACGGACUGCAGGGUGGGAGAUGCAACAAUGGCCUUGAGAACAGCAGGAAGUGUGUUGGUGGUCUUUCUCUGGUCUGUAGCAGUGGUACUGGGUCAGUAUGGCUGGAGUGUUACAUACACCACUCAGAGUAUCUGUGUCUUGGAGGGGUCAACAGUGGAUCUGUCCUGCUCUAUCAGAUAUCCCAGUGGUACAGUCACAUCAACCGUCUGGUUCACUAAAUGGGGGACUGGUGUAGAACCUGAAGAUCUAGGUCAGGACCCAGAGUAUGCAGGUCGUCUGGAGUAUCAUGGGGAUAAGAAGAAUGGUCACAACCUGAGAAUCACAGACCUGAGAGAGAAAGACUCAGCUACGUACAAGUUCAGAUUUAUAACAGAUCAGACUGGAGGGAAAUAUACUGGUGAUCCUGGAGUCACUCUGUCUGUCACAGUGUCCAUCCUGACCCUAACGGUGACACACACACACCACUGAAAAUGAGGACCAGACAUUCUGGCUAGUGUGAGGUGCUCGCCCAGUGACACGUUCACUGCUCUUCAGAGAGACGCUCAGCCCUCCAUGUAUCAGACCAUCCAGGGGAGAAAACCACCACAGAACCUGGACUGAUAGAACCACCACAGAACCUGCACUGAAGAGAACCACCACAGAACUUGGACUGAAGACAACCACCACAGAACCUGGACUGAUAGAACCACAACAGAACCUGCACUGAAGAGAACCACCACAGAACCUGGACUGAAGAGAACCACCACAGAACCUGGACUGAUAGAACCACCACAGAACCUGGACUGAAGACAACCACCACAGAACCUGGACUGAAGAGAACCAUCACAGAACCUGGACUGAUAGAACCACCACAGAACCUGGACUGAAGAGAACCACCACAGAACCUGGACUGAAGACAACCACCACAGAACCUGGACUGAUAGAACCACCACAGAACCUGGACUGAUAGAACCACCACAGAACCUGGAGUGAUAGAACCACCACAGAACCUGGACUGAAGAGAACCACCACAGAACCUGGACUGAAGACAACCACCACAGAACCUGGACUGAUAGAACCACCACAGAACCUGGACUGAAGAGAACCACCACAGAACCUGGAUUGAAGACAACCACCACAGAAGCUGGACUGAUAGAACCACCACAGAAACUGGACUGAUAGAACCACCACAGAACCUGGACUGAAGACAACCACCACAGAACCUGGACUGAUAGAACCACCACAGAACCUGGACUGAUAGAACCACCACAGAACCUGGACUGAAGAGAACCACCACAGAACCUGGA
Non-coding RNA from Salmo salar (Atlantic salmon), 1435 nucleotides. The record is from RefSeq and is a predicted model, not a curated record. Lineage: Eukaryota; Metazoa; Chordata; Actinopteri; Salmoniformes; Salmonidae.